AUUGUCUUUGAAGGUGCCAUCGUGCACUCUACCAACUUGAAAUGUGCCAGAUCUUGGAAAUUGGAUGUUGUGGGUCUCCUGCUAUGCCGUCCACAUGCACUUAUAGUUUUCUUUGCUCUAUUUAGACUUUGGUUACAUUUGGAUUGGGUAAUGGCAGAUAUGGCCCUGUCAUCCGUCAUUCCUAGUAAGGUUCAGGGUCUAAUUAGCAGUAUGUGAGAAAAAACACUUGAGAGGUUUGAUUUAAGUUAUGUUUGUGAAUACCGGAGCUAGGAGUUUCUAAUAUAACAUCUCCUGAGCACAUAUCUUGAUUUAAGAUGAAUUUUCUCCUUUGAUUUUCCUCAGGAGUGCUGUAUAUGUCUCACCUCGUAUGAGGACGGAGCAGAGCUCCAUGCUCUCCCCUGCAACCACCAUUUCCAUUCGACAUGUAUCGUGAAAUGGCUCAAGAUGAAUGCAACCUGUCC
This 461-nucleotide long non-coding RNA is filed under the name Eucalyptus grandis. RNAcentral describes it as "long non-coding RNA (EGRA_LNC004363)". Lineage: Eukaryota; Viridiplantae; Streptophyta; Magnoliopsida; Myrtales; Myrtaceae. The record is from RNAcentral.